UCUUCAGCAGGGACCUCUGGUGCGGCCGAAGUGAGGAGGACGGGCUGGGCCACAUCGUUUGUCUGCUCGUGCUGGUGGUGAGUGAUAACGAUGGGCUGGACCGUACUGUAGGUGUGGUCGUGUAGGUGGUGGGUGAUGUUUCGGUCUGCAGGUGGAGGGGCUGUGUUCCAGUGGAGUGCGUUCCAGGGGAAGAUUGAAGGUCCCAGCUCUUUUUUCCCAUCAGGGAAAUGACAGGAGCAUACCCGGGAGUCAUCAUGUGGCUCCCGAUCUGCUCGUCUGUAAUGAGAGUAGGGCCAGCGUGGGGUAUUUGAGGGGGAGGCCGUGACCAGGACGAAUACAAUGCCAAAGCACAGACUGCACAACGCCCAAGUUGAACCCAUGGGCGGCUGAUGACCUCCACCAUUGGUGCAGGGAGCUAUGCUGACUGGACAGUGGAAUGCACUAUGAUGAACCAGGGCCCAGCAGAGCUGCACCAGGGGCUUCGGAGUUGAGUGGGGAUCAGAUCCAGGACAUGGCUGGCCUGUGGCUAUAUGACUGUUAUUUUUUCAUAUUGUUUUUUUUACAGUCAUGGCUGUAUGUCUUUGUUUUUGUUUUUGGAGCAUGCUGCAGUGCUUUUAUUUUGCU
Engraulis encrasicolus (European anchovy) is the source of this 624-nucleotide long non-coding RNA. RefSeq lists it as uncharacterized. NCBI's taxonomy places the organism in Eukaryota, Metazoa, Chordata, Actinopteri, Clupeiformes, Engraulidae. The record is from RefSeq and is a predicted model, not a curated record. The transcript is spliced from 4 exons.